Long non-coding RNA from Symphalangus syndactylus (siamang), 271 nucleotides. RefSeq lists it as uncharacterized. Lineage: Eukaryota; Metazoa; Chordata; Mammalia; Primates; Hylobatidae. The record is from RefSeq and is a predicted model, not a curated record.
GAGCAUCACACUUCUAUUUAGACUUUAUGGAAAAGGUGAAAUUUCCAGGGAUCUAACGGCGAAGGAUGGGAGAACUGCCUGAUCACUACAACGUUUCAUUGCCAAGGAGCUCACUGGACUUUUGUCACAAUUUAAUGAGAUUUUGUAUCUAAAUUUUCCCACACCAUGCCUGACACCAGGUGGGUGUUAAAUAAACAUUAGGUGUCUUUUUACUACCAUAAAAUAUGUAUGAAACUAACAUUUAUUAAAAAUGUUUUUCUGUCAGAAGUUA